AACUGUCACAGAUUAAUAUGCAAAAUGUAUCCUGCAACUGUUGGCCUAUUAUAAAAGGGUAUAUAGUGAGGAAUUAAUGAAACUAUAACUUAACCAUAGCCAAGUAACUGAUGAAAUGCGCAGAGCUGAAAACGAUUAAUAUAAAAUUGUAAAUACUCAUGUUUUUACUGAGUUUAUACUCGGCAUAUUUUAACUGUGAAAUUUACGAAUUUUCGUGCCUUUUAGUAAUAUUUUAUAAUAAACAUAAUAUCUGUAAUAGUAAAUAGAAUUCAAUAAUUAUUGUAGUCGAUUGUUUUUGCAUUGCUUCACAUUACAUUUUUAAUAUAAUAAAUUGAUAAUACACAGA
This is a long non-coding RNA of Anthonomus grandis grandis, 346 nucleotides long. RefSeq lists it as uncharacterized. The transcript has 2 exons. NCBI's taxonomy places the organism in Eukaryota, Metazoa, Arthropoda, Insecta, Coleoptera, Curculionidae. The record is from RefSeq and is a predicted model, not a curated record.